UGGUGAUGCUGCUGCACCCCACCACACAACCAAUGAGAGUGAACAUCACUAUCUCAUUGAUGGGUGUAUCUGAAGAUGAGAGGGCUAGCAAGGGUGGGAUGUCACAGAAAAAGUGACUGAUGAUAUUGGAAUUGCAGAAUGACAAUCGAAAUGUGCAGCAGGUGUGGACUGCCGAAUCCACUAGGUCCACAAAGUAGGCAAGGGACACGAGCUGGAUGCAGAUUUUCCUGGACAUGACGAUUGUAUAAAGAGACGAGAAGUCAGCCGGCAUCUUGGGAGAGACAGUGAAGGAGUAGCAGACAUCACAGAAAGACAGAUUGCUCAGGAAAUAGUACAUGGAGUCCAGCUGGAGUCCAGCUUGAUCAGCAGGAUCAUCCCUAGAUUGGCAAUCACGGUUAUGCCAUAAACUAGCAAAAAGAGCACAAAGAGUCCCUGCUGCACAUCUUUCCUGCCAGAGAGUCCUAGGAGCCUGAAGUCAGUAAUCACAGUGCAGUUCUCAACAGCCAUCGCUCAGAUCUGGGAAUCCCUGCUUGUGAGAGAUGGAAACAGAGCCAGGAUUAGCAUCAUCUUACCAUUUUAGCAGACAAGAUAAAGGAACUGAUAAGAAUGAUUGAUAAGAAUUGAUACUCAACCUGCAGCAAAGAAUGUUCAUGGUCUUAUAUUGGAGACAAUGGUCAAAUCAACUGAGCCAUAGGUACAGUGAUGCCUUGAGGAGAGUAUUACUUAUAAACCACAAAGAUGAGCAUUUAACCAGGACUGAGAAGGCAGAAGAAGGGAAGAAAAGCCAAGUGGAAGUGACUGAGUUGAAUUUCAACAUAAGGAUGUACUUUGCCAGGACCCUCCACUUUGCACUUUUAUCCUUCUCUUGUUGGACAUUGCAGGGGAGCAGAAUACACCACUUCAAAAUAUACCACUUUGGCUAUUGAGUAUUUUAUUUUAUUUUUUUAAGAUU
Molecule: non-coding RNA, 952 nt
Organism: Leptonychotes weddellii (Weddell seal)
Lineage: Eukaryota; Metazoa; Chordata; Mammalia; Carnivora; Phocidae
Source: RefSeq, a predicted model, not a curated record